UACGUAGGGUGCGAGCGUUAAUCGGAAUUACUGGGCGUAAAGCGUGCGCAGGCGGUUUUGUAAGCCAGAUGUGAAAGCCCCGGGCUUAACCUGGGAAUGGCAUUUGGGACUGCAAGGCUUGAGUGCGGCAGAGGAGACUGGAAUUCCUGGUGUAGCAGUGAAAUGCGUAGAUAUCAGGAGGAAUACCGAUGGCGAGGGCAGGUCUCUGGGCUGACACUGACGCUCAUGCACGAAGGCGUGGGGAGCAAACAGG
This 253-nucleotide ribosomal RNA is filed under the name uncultured bacterium. RNAcentral describes it as "partial 16S ribosomal RNA". It matches the Rfam family "Bacterial small subunit ribosomal RNA", at positions 524 to 776 of the family's 1533-position model. The record is from RNAcentral.